CACAAAAUUGACAAGUCCUUGAACCCUAUCAGUAUUGUCUCUGCUGUCCACUUUGUUCAGAGUAGUGCAAUAUUGCUUAUAGGGCUUCAGUUUUUGGGUUAA
RNAcentral lists this microRNA precursor (102 nucleotides) under Salmo salar (Atlantic salmon). RNAcentral's name for it is "mir-454 microRNA precursor family". It matches the Rfam family "mir-454 microRNA precursor family". The record is from Rfam by way of RNAcentral. Lineage: Eukaryota; Metazoa; Chordata; Actinopteri; Salmoniformes; Salmonidae.